Molecule: ribosomal RNA, 253 nt
Filed under: uncultured bacterium
Lineage: Bacteria
Description: partial 16S ribosomal RNA
Rfam family: Bacterial small subunit ribosomal RNA
Source: RNAcentral
UACGUAGGGUGCAAGCGUUACUCGGAAUUACUGGGCGUAAAGCGUACGCAGGCGGCUUUGCAAGACAGGUGUGAAAUCCCCGGGCCUAACCUGGGAACUGCAUUUGUGACUGCAUGGCUAGAGUUUGUCAGAGGGGGGUGGAAUUCCACGUGUAGCAGUGAAAUGCGUAGAUAUGCGGAGGAACACCGAUGGCGAAGGCAAUCCCCUGGGCCUGCACUGACGCUGAUGCACGAAAGCGUGGGGAGCAAACAGG